Sinocyclocheilus rhinocerous is the source of this 604-nucleotide long non-coding RNA. RefSeq lists it as uncharacterized. NCBI's taxonomy places the organism in Eukaryota, Metazoa, Chordata, Actinopteri, Cypriniformes, Cyprinidae. The transcript has 2 exons. The record is from RefSeq and is a predicted model, not a curated record.
UGCUUUCAGGAACGGGGCUCCCAUCCCGACACAUUUCUUUGUGAUUCUUACAAGCUGUAAGAACUCGUCCCUUCCCAUCCGACAGUGUGACGGUCCUCUAGAUGCUGUGUCUUUCGUUCUUCCUCAUCGAGCUGAUCGUCUGGAAACAUGUCAUAAUGGCUCACACUACUCAUGGCUCCAGGAUUGGGUUCAGUUUCACGUGACGCGAAUCAGAGACGUUGAGCUUCUGACGGGCUUGAGUUUUUACCAUGACCGGAUAUCUGUUGCUGAAACAUUACAACUCAAAACCACACUCAAAACUUUCUAGAAACGCUUAUGAACUUAGACCACAUUCCACUGCGUCUGCAGGCCACGAACGGCACAUUCGGAAUGGAAUGGAUCUGUUCACCAUUAAAACCCAGCUGAGCCUUACCAGACUCUGAAACAAAGACACUAGUUCAUCCAGAGAGUCUUUGAACUCCUAAAAUGGGAAAAUAAAAACGUUUUUAUGAUCUCUGCUUUAAUGAAAUCUUUAUUCUCAGAGGCAAUCUAUUUAUAUCUGGGGAAGUACCAGAAACUGGCCCAGCAAUCCUAGAGAAACUAAAAUUCUGUUUUUCCAAAAAAA